CCUACGGGUGUCAGCAGUGGGGAAUAUUGCACAAUGAGGGAAACCCUGAUGCAGCGACGCCGCGUGAGUGAAGAAGUAAUUCGUUAUGUAAAGCUCUAUCAGCCGGGCAGCAAAUGACGGUACCUGAGUAAGAACCCCCGGCUAACUACGUGACAGCAGCCGCGGUAAUACGUAUGGGGCAAGCGUUAUCCGGAGUUACUGGGUGUAAAGGGAGCGUAGACGGCAGUGCAAGUCUGGAGGGAAAGGGGGGGGCUCAAACCCCGGAUUGCUCUGGAAACUGUACGGCUGGAGUGCAGGAGAGGUAAGUGGAAUUCCUAGUGUAGCGGUGAAAUGCGUAGAUAUUAGGAGGAACACCAGUGGCGAAGGCGGCUUACUGGAGUGUAACUGACGUUGAGGCUCGAAAGCGUGGGGAGCAAACAGGAUUAGAUACCCGGGUAGUC
This 440-nucleotide ribosomal RNA is filed under the name uncultured bacterium. RNAcentral's name for it is "partial 16S ribosomal RNA". It matches the Rfam family "Bacterial small subunit ribosomal RNA", at positions 338 to 795 of the family's 1533-position model. The record is from RNAcentral.